This 208-nucleotide long non-coding RNA is filed under the name Homo sapiens (human). RNAcentral describes it as "LNC_000496". Lineage: Eukaryota; Metazoa; Chordata; Mammalia; Primates; Hominidae. The record is from RNAcentral.
AACAGAGCCACAUGGUUUUGCCGAGGCACGGCAAAAAUACUCAGGGAACUGCGAGCUGUGGUUAUCUCUGGGGAAUAAGACUGGGGUGGCCAGGAGGUCAGCUCUAUUCUCGAGAAGACAUCCUCCAGCAGGUGGAAAACAUGCUCCCCAGCAUUCUAGCUUCUACCAGCCUGGCAGCCCCCACAAAGCAACAGCAACUCUUUCCAGC